CAAUAGCGUAUAUUAAAGUUGUUGCGGUUAAAAAGCUCGUAGUUGGAUUUCUGCUGAGGACGACCGGUCCGCCCUCUGGGUGAGUAUCUGGCUCGGCCUUGGCAUCUUCUUGGAGAACGUAUCUGCACUUGACUGUGUGGUGCGGUACCCAGGACAUUUUACUUUGAGGAAAUUAGAGUGUUUCAAGCAGGCUUGUGCCUUGAAUACAUUAGCAUGGAAUAAUAAUAUAGGACCUCGGUUCUAUUUUGUGGUUUCUAGAGCUGAGGUAAUGAUUAAUAGGGAUAGUUGGGGGCAUUCGUAUUUAACUGUCAAGGUGAAUGUGUAAUGUAGUUUUGUUAAAGACGGACUACUGCGAAAGCAUUUUGCCAAGGAUGUUUUUCAUUGAUCAAGAACGAAAGUAGGGG
This 404-nucleotide ribosomal RNA is filed under the name uncultured eukaryote. RNAcentral describes it as "SSU rRNA". It matches the Rfam family "Eukaryotic small subunit ribosomal RNA", at positions 592 to 995 of the family's 1831-position model. The record is from RNAcentral.